Molecule: long non-coding RNA, 294 nt
Filed under: Vigna radiata
Lineage: Eukaryota; Viridiplantae; Streptophyta; Magnoliopsida; Fabales; Fabaceae
Description: long non-coding RNA (VRAD_LNC001986)
Source: RNAcentral
CAUCUUGAAGAAUGUCCCAUACGUCUUUCGCGGUUGCAGCUUUCGAGACCUUUUGGAACAUGGCCGGAGAGAUGCAUUGGUGUAGAAGCAUCCUCGCUUUACAAUCAAGACGACGAUCUUCUUUAUACUUCUUCUUUACAGCUUCUGAGGCAUCUUUCAGCCGUUCUUGAAGACCUGUCUUCACCACCUCAUCAACUUCUUGAAACCCGAGUAUGGCCUCCAUCUUUACGCAUUAAUCGUCAAAGUCUUUACCGUCAAAGAUAGGAAGGUUGUUGUGUAUCAAUCCCGCCAUCA